GGGGCGGGUCGGGCAAUCGCGGUGCGCAAGCAUCGAGGAAGGUCCGGACUCCGCAGGGCAGGGUAGCGGCUAACGGCCGUCCGGCGUCGCGGCGCGCAAGCGCCGUCAAGCCGAGGAACAGGGCCACAGAGACGAGUCUGCGGCGAGGGCCUUUCGGGGCACCGGUACGGCCAUCUCCGUACCGCGUGGCGAUCCGUCGCCAUGGCGCCGCAGGGUGAAACGCGGCAACCUCUACCCGGAGCAACAUCAAAUAGGCAUGCGCAGGCGCUUCGGCGCCGAAAGGGCGGCCCGUCCGAGCAUGCGGGUAGAUGGCACGAGCGCGGCAGCAAUGACGCGCCCAGAUGAAUGAUUGCCCGCCGGGCUUCCGGCGUACAGAAUCCGGCCUACAGAUCCGCCUCACUC
RNAcentral lists this RNase P RNA (402 nucleotides) under Alcaligenaceae bacterium. RNAcentral's name for it is "RNase P RNA component class A". It matches the Rfam family "Bacterial RNase P class A". Rfam says of the family: Ribonuclease P (RNase P) is a ubiquitous endoribonuclease, found in archaea, bacteria and eukarya as well as chloroplasts and mitochondria. Its best characterised activity is the generation of mature 5'-ends of tRNAs by cleaving the 5'-leader elements of precursor-tRNAs. Lineage: Bacteria; Pseudomonadati; Pseudomonadota; Betaproteobacteria; Burkholderiales; Alcaligenaceae. The record is from RNAcentral.